AGCUUCGUAGUGGAAAUAUAAGAUGUCCGACUGCAAUUCUGAAGAUGCGUAAAACGCCGGAGCUU
RNAcentral lists this transfer RNA (65 nucleotides) under Metapenaeopsis dalei. RNAcentral's name for it is "tRNA-Cys". Lineage: Eukaryota; Metazoa; Arthropoda; Malacostraca; Decapoda; Penaeidae. The record is from RNAcentral.